CAGCAGCCGCGGGAAUACGAAGGGGGCUAGCGUUGUUCGGAAUCACUGGGCGUAAAGGGUGCGUAGGCGGGAUCUUAAGUCAGGGGUGAAAUCCCGAGGCUCAACCUCGGAACUGCCUUUGAUACUGGGGUCCUUGAGUCCGGAAGAGGUGAGUGGAACUGCGAGUGUAGAGGUGAAAUUCGUAGAUAUUCGCAAGAACACUGGUGGCGAAGGCGGCUCACUGGUCCGGAACUGACGCUGAGGCACGACAGCGUGGGGAGCAAACAGGAUUAGAUACCCGUGUAGUCCCUGUCUCUUAUAC
This 301-nucleotide ribosomal RNA is filed under the name uncultured bacterium. RNAcentral's name for it is "partial 16S ribosomal RNA". It matches the Rfam family "Bacterial small subunit ribosomal RNA", at positions 509 to 807 of the family's 1533-position model. The record is from RNAcentral.